GAAAACGCUGUGCAAAAAGGUCAAACUCAAGACGCUUGUGCAUGUGGAGACUGAGCCACAUGUUGAUGAACCACCAGGGACCUCCCAAGUUGCCGAUAGGCUGGCCGAGUAGGAGUUUCCUAGUCACUUGGUGAAGGAGGUGGUAGGCUGCACCGAGCAGGUAUCGGCCGAGGGGAAAUCGGCCACCAUUAGCCAAAUUUUCUGCUGCUGCUAGGGCCUG
This 220-nucleotide long non-coding RNA is filed under the name Sorghum bicolor (sorghum). RNAcentral describes it as "long non-coding RNA (SBIC_LNC012517)". The record is from RNAcentral. Lineage: Eukaryota; Viridiplantae; Streptophyta; Magnoliopsida; Poales; Poaceae.